UUCGGUCCCUAUCCGUCGCGGGCGCAGGAAAUUUGAGAGGAGCUGUCCUUAGUACGAGAGGACCGGGAUGGACGCACCGCUGGUGUACCAGUUGUCUUGCCAAAGGCAUAGCUGGGUAGCUACGUGCGGACGGGAUAAGUGCUGAAAGCAUCUAAGCAUGAAGCCCCCCUCAAGAGGAGAUUUCCCAUGGCGCAAGCUAGUAAGAUCCCUGAAAGAUGAUCAGGUUGAUAGGUCAGAGGUGGAAGCGUGGCGACAUGUGGAGCUGACUGAUACUAAUAGAUCGAGGACUUAACCAAC
This 297-nucleotide ribosomal RNA is filed under the name Bacillus sp. mrc49. RNAcentral describes it as "partial 23S ribosomal RNA". It matches the Rfam family "Bacterial large subunit ribosomal RNA", at positions 2630 to 2925 of the family's 2925-position model. The record is from RNAcentral. Lineage: Bacteria; Bacillati; Bacillota; Bacilli; Caryophanales; Bacillaceae.